UCAUCAAAUAAGCAAUCCAAGUCCAAAAAGAAAUUGGGUUUAACCAUAUGACAGCAAGGUUCUCCUAAACCCAAUAAAAUUUCUCCUAACCCAAUUGAGACUUCAUAAGCCCAAUUGUUUAAUCCAGAUCAAAUUCUUUUGUUGUGUGAACUCAUAGAUUCAAUUCUGUCUGGUAGUGAGAUAUACCAUGAUCUCUAUCAUAAUAUCAUUGAAACUCUUUUCAAUAGAUCAGGAUGAUUCUACUAUAAUUCAACAAGGAUCGUCGAUCCAGAACGAUCCUAGUAAGCUCUUACAAUCCAUCAAUAACACCUAGCAAUAUGUAGUGGCAACCUAGCAGAAUCGAAAAAAAUUUCUAGGUGUAUUUUCUACGUGAUUCAAUUUUUCUAUCAUGCAUUUUGAUAUGAUGGUAGGUCAUGGAUAAAUUAUUAAUUCUUAAUAUUAGUCAUAUGAUAGAUUUAAUCAACUCAAGUCUAAUUAUGAUUCUCAUGAAAACUCUUUUCCAUCAAUCACACCACUGUGGCCACAGACUUAUAGACUUAGCCUCUCAAAUCUCAUAGAACCACUCAUCACUCUCAAGAUCGAUGGAUUUCAUCUUGAUGCAUGUCCUGCUCCUACAGUGGACCAAUUAUUGCCAACAUACACUAUAAGAUCUCAAGUGGUUAAGUGGCCAUAUUUCUAUGCAGUCAAACUCCAGUAGCCUUACUGUGAGCAAUCAUGCUACCACAGGUCGAAGGACCACUCACAUAACUAUAGCAUC
Molecule: long non-coding RNA, 757 nt
Filed under: Elaeis guineensis (African oil palm)
Lineage: Eukaryota; Viridiplantae; Streptophyta; Magnoliopsida; Arecales; Arecaceae
Description: long non-coding RNA (EGUI_LNC075787)
Source: RNAcentral